RNAcentral lists this unclassified non-coding RNA (411 nucleotides) under soil metagenome. RNAcentral describes it as "partial contains 5.8S ribosomal RNA, internal transcribed spacer 2, and large subunit ribosomal RNA". The stretch from base 5 to 119 matches the Rfam family "5.8S ribosomal RNA", at positions 40 to 154 of the family's 154-position model. The record is from RNAcentral.
GAUGAGAACGUAGCGAAAUGCGAUAAGUAAUGUGAAUUGCAGAAUUCAGUGAAUCAUCGAAUCUUUGAACGCACCUUGCGCUCUUUGGUAUUCCGAAGAGCAUGCCUGUUUGAGUGUCAUGAAAAUAUCAACCUUGACUUGGUUUUGUGCUCUAGUCUCGGCUUGGAAUUGGGUGCUUGCCGCUUUUACGAGCGGCUCACCUUAAAUGUAUUAGCUGGAUCUGUCUUUGAGACUUGGUUUGACUUGGCGUAAUAAGUAUUUCGCUAAGGACAUUCUUCGGAGUGGCCUCGUUUCUAGGACGCUUGUCCGCUUUCCAAUACAAGUUCCACCUCGUGGACAUGACUUUUUAUUAUCUGGCCUCAAAUCAGGUAGGACUACCCGCUGAACUUAAGCAUAUCAAUAAGCGGAGGA